RNAcentral lists this ribosomal RNA (937 nucleotides) under uncultured bacterium. RNAcentral's name for it is "bacterial SSU rRNA". It matches the Rfam family "Bacterial small subunit ribosomal RNA", at positions 562 to 1498 of the family's 1533-position model. The record is from RNAcentral.
AAAGCGUGUGUAGGUGGGAAACUGUGUCAGGGGUGAAAUCCCGGGGCUUAACCUCGGAAUUGCCUUUGAAACUGGUUUUCUUGAGUAUAGCAGAGGAUGGUGGAAUUUCCAGUGUAGAGGUGAAAUUCGUAGAUAUUGGAAGGAACAUCGGCGGCGAAGGCGACCAUCUGGGCUAUUACUGACACUGAGACACGAAAGCGUGGGGAGCAAACGGGAUUAGAUACCCCGGUAGUCCACGCUGUAAACGAUGAGUGCUAGUUAUCAGGCUUUAGGUUUGGUGACACAGUUAACACGUUAAGCACUCCGCCUGGGGAGUACGGUCGCAAGAUUAAAACUCAAAGGAAUUGACGGGGACCCGCACAAGCGGUGGAGCAUGUGGUUUAAUUCGAUGCUACGCGAAAAACCUUACCACCUUUUGACAUCCCUAUCGCGCCCUUUGUAAUGGAAGGGCUUCGGUUCGGCCGGAUAGGAGACAAGUGUUGCAUGGCUGUCGUCAGCUCGUGUCGUGAGAUGUUGGGUUAAGUCCCGCAACGAGCGCAACCCUCAUCCUUAGUUGCCAACGGGUUAUGCCGGGAACUCUAGGGAAACUGCCCGUGACAAGCGGGAGGAAGGUGGGGAUGACGUCAAGUCAUCAUGGCCUUUACAAGGUGGGCUACACACGUGCUACAAUGGCGGUGACAAUGGGUUGCUACCUCGCGAGAGGAUGCUAAUCUCUAAAAGCCGCCUCAGUUCAGAUUGUAGUCUGCAACUCGACUACAUGAAAGUCGGAAUCGCUAGUAAAUCGUGGAUCAGCAUGCCACGGUGAAUACGUUCCCGGGUCUUGUACACACUGCCCGUCACGCCAUGGAAGCUGGUUCUACCUUAAGCUGGUGAGCUAACUGCAAGAGGCAGCCAACCACGGUAGUGUCAGUGACUGGGGUGAAGUCGUAACAAGGUA